AACGAACGCUGGCGGCAUGCCUAACACAUGCAAGUCGAACGAGACCUUCGGGUCUAUUGUCGCACGGGUGCGUAACGCGUGGGAACCUUCCUUUAUGUUCGGAAUAACUCAGAGAAAUUUGAGCUAAUACCGGAUGAUGUCUUCGGACCAAAGAUUUAUCGCCUUUGGAUGGUCCCGCGUUGGAUUAGCUAGUUGGUGGGGUAAAGGCCUACCAAGGCGACGAUCCAUAGCUGGUCUGAGAGGAUGAUCAGCGACACUGGGACUGAGACACGGCCCAGACUCCUACGGGAGGCAGCAGUGGGGAAUAUUGGAAAAUGGGCGGAGGCAUGAUCCAGCAAGGCCGCGUGAGUGAUGAAGGCCUUAGGGUUGUAAAGCUCUUUUAACCGAGAUGAUAAUGACAGUAUCGGGAGAAUAAGCCCCGGCUAACUCCGUG
This 433-nucleotide ribosomal RNA is filed under the name uncultured bacterium. RNAcentral's name for it is "partial 16S ribosomal RNA". It matches the Rfam family "Bacterial small subunit ribosomal RNA", at positions 29 to 507 of the family's 1533-position model. The record is from RNAcentral.